GGCCAGGUAGCUCAGUUGGUAGAGCGCGGCCCUGAAAAGGCCGGCGUCGGCGGUUCAAGUCCGUCCCUGGCCACCA
Molecule: transfer RNA, 76 nt
Filed under: Candidatus Solibacter usitatus
Lineage: Bacteria; Pseudomonadati; Acidobacteriota; Terriglobia; Bryobacterales; Solibacteraceae
Also listed under: 13 other names
Description: tRNA-Phe
Rfam family: tRNA
About the family: Transfer RNA (tRNA) molecules are approximately 80 nucleotides in length. Their secondary structure includes four short double-helical elements and three loops (D, anti-codon, and T loops).
Source: RNAcentral